This 433-nucleotide ribosomal RNA is filed under the name uncultured bacterium. RNAcentral's name for it is "partial 16S ribosomal RNA". It matches the Rfam family "Bacterial small subunit ribosomal RNA", at positions 29 to 506 of the family's 1533-position model. The record is from RNAcentral.
AGCGAACGCUGGCGGCAGGCCUAGCACAUGCAAGUCGAACGAACCUUUCGGGGUUAGUGGCGGACGGGUGAGUAACACGUGGGAACGUGCCUUUAGGUUCGGAAUAACUCAGGGAAACUUGUGCUAAUACCGAAUGUGCCCUUCGGGGGAAAGAUUAAUCGCCUUUAGAGCGGCCCGCGUCUGAUUAGCUAGUUGGUUGAGGUAAUGGCUCACCAAGGCUACGAUCAGUAGCUGGUCUGAGAGGAUGAUCAGCCACAUUGGGACUGAGACACGGCCCAAACUCCUACGGGAGGCAGCAGUGGGGAAUCUUGCGCAAUGGGCGAAAGCCUGACGCAGCCAUGCCGCGUGAAUGAUGAGGGUCUUAGGAUUGUAAAAUUCUUUCACCGGGGACGAUAAUGACGGUACCCGGAGAAGAAGCCCCGGCUAACUUCGU